Molecule: ribosomal RNA, 465 nt
Filed under: uncultured bacterium
Lineage: Bacteria
Description: bacterial SSU rRNA
Rfam family: Bacterial small subunit ribosomal RNA
Source: RNAcentral
AACGAACGCUGGCGGUAGGCCUUACACAUGCAAGUCGAACGAGAAAUACAUUUCGGUGUAGAGUAAAGUGGCGGACGGGUGAGUAACGCGUAGGUAGAUAGCCAGUAGUACGGAACAACCAUUGGAAACGAUGGCUAAUACCGCAUACGCCGGAGACGGGAAAGGUGCUUGCACCACUAUUGGGGGAGCCUACGCCUGAUUAGCUUGUUGGUAGGGUAAAAGCCUACCAAGGCGAGGAUCAGUAGCCGGUCUGAGAGGACGAUCGGCCACAUUGGAACUGAGACACGGUCCAGACUCCUACGGGAGGCAGCAGUGGGGAAUAUUGGACAAUGGGCGAAAGCCUGAUCCAGCAAUGCCGCGUGAGUGAUGAAUGCUUUAGGGUUGUAAAGCUCUUUCACUAAUGAGGAUGAUGACGUUAAUUAGAGAAGAAGUCCCGGCUAACUUCGUGCCAGCAGCCGCCGUAAC